UUGGCAUUUAUCACUUUCAAAUAAAACUAAAGUGCUCAACUGGUUAGCCUUCCAUAACAAAAUCUUAACAAAAGCAAACAUGAAGAAAAAAAUUAGUGUCACUCAAUAGCAUGCUUGAUGUUUGGAGAAGCAGAUGAAACUAUAGAUUAUAUAUUCAUCGCCUGUGCUUAUACAAGGAUAAUAUGGCAUCAAACCUAGAGUUGUUUACC
Molecule: long non-coding RNA, 209 nt
Filed under: Elaeis guineensis (African oil palm)
Lineage: Eukaryota; Viridiplantae; Streptophyta; Magnoliopsida; Arecales; Arecaceae
Description: long non-coding RNA (EGUI_LNC042886)
Source: RNAcentral